GAGAGCUGCGAGGUACUGGCCUGGAUGUGGUGGAGCUGGGCUGGGACCUCCGGGCUGCUGGUCUGUGAGCCUGGCUUUGAAAAUUGGUUACUGGGUCUCCUCUCAAGAAAUCUCAAGAUAUUAAAGUUACUGCUGUUAAAAAGGUGAGGAAUACUGUAUCUAUCAUUCAACAAGUUUCAGCUUUCUGGCUAAAUGACUUUUGUGCCAGUGAUACCAGAGUCCUACAGCCAUGUUCUUGCAGAGUUUGAAUCUCUGGAUCCAUUACUCUCAGCCCUGCGGCUGGACUCCAGUCGUCUAAAGUCUUGCUCUGUUGCCCAGGAUGGAGUACAGUGGCACCAUCUCAGCUCUCUGCAAACUCUGCCUCCCGGGUUCAAGUGAUUCUCAUGCCUCAGCCACCAGAGAGGCUAGGAUUACAGUGCACGAGCAUAGCUGUGUCUCGGAAAUGGUUGGCUUUGGGCAGUUCAGGAGGAGGACUGCAUCUCAUU
Molecule: small RNA, 485 nt
Filed under: Pan troglodytes (chimpanzee)
Lineage: Eukaryota; Metazoa; Chordata; Mammalia; Primates; Hominidae
Description: processed transcript
Source: RNAcentral